UGUUGGAUGCAUAGCUUACAAAAAUGUUCUCCCAUUCUGUAGGUUGUUUACUCUGUUGAUAGUUUCUUUUUCAGCCAUGUUUAUGUAUCAGUUCUUUUAAUUUUUUUUAUUUUAGAAGCCAUAGCAGCAACAUCAGCUCUUCAGACAUGUAUCCAAAUAAAAAUCUUUUAGCUGGCAGUCACUUAAUCAGAAGCUGUAAUUAUCCAGAACAAAGGCAGGAACCAAAACAAAUGAAAGCAUUUUAAAUAGAUGAAAAAUAUAUAAUCUAAUCUACAAUACAACAGCAACACGAUAAUAGCUAAAGUUUUUUGAGCAUUUACUAUGAGCUGGACAGUGUUUUGAAGAUUUAUGCACAUUUACAUUUAAUCUUCACAGCAACCCUAUGAAGUCGGUACUCCUAUGUGAUACAAUUAGAAUAUUAGAACUUUUUGCUGUUGUUCUAUGUGGUCAUUGUUAAUGUUUGGAAACAUUCCAGGUACUGCUUUGUUUUACCAGUUCCUCUGUCUAUUACAGCUUUGUUCCCUCUCUUUGGCCAUUUUAAAAGAUUUAAAUAAAAUUUCUGUACUCUGUCAAACCUCCUAUUGAUCAUACAACAAAGACAGAAUUAAUUAAUUGAUCAUGCUGUUAUACUCCUAGGACAGUUGUAAAUACCAGUAGCAUUUGUUACAUAGUAUCAGUAUCAAGUGUUUUACCUGUUAGAUUGUGUGUGUGUGUGUGUGUGUGUGUGUGCGCGCGCGUGUGCGCGCGCGCUCAAAACUUUGAUCUUCCCUGAGGCUAAGGACUGCACCUUCCUUAAUUUUAUUCCUCUGAGAUUACUAUCAAGCCUGGCAUAUAGUAGAUAUAUAUUUCCAUAUACACCAAUGAACGAGUGGAAGAGAGAAAAAAGAUAGAGAUAAGGAAAAGUGAAAAGAGACAAAGAGAAAUUUGAAAAUUCAGAUGCCUCUUUUGAGAUGUACCACAAUCUUGCAGAGUUUGAACAUGUUAUUUUAGAGGGAAAACUUUUAUUUUAAUUGAACAAAAGGAGAAUUUAUAUUUUAGCAGGGAUAUUGUAUUUCUAAAGCAAUGUAAGGCAUUACAAGGAUAUUAAUGAUUUGUAAGAACGUGGAGAUGAAUCUGGAGGCAAGGGAGAACCAGGGAGAACUUUUCGCUUUGUUUUGGGUUGAAGAAAAAUUGAUCUUCCAUGUACAUUAGUGGAAAUGUAGUUAGGGAAGUACAAAUACAGGAGGAACUAAAGUAGGAGCAAACAAUUUGAAGGGAGUAUAAUCAGAGAAGAAAAACGAGAGCUAUACUGUUUUUCGUUGAACAAUCCAAGAACAAGAUGAUAGGAAAUAAGAUAGGGAAACGUGCUUACAGAAAAGAGAAGUCUAAAGCAGGUCAAUCUGCUGCUAAGGGAUUUCAGCCCAGCAAAUGCACACAUUAAGAAUAAUGCCAGAAUAUAGCAAAGUGGCUUUAUCUUUCGGUAGCGGUGGACUGUUCGCACACACGCAACAGCUAACAAGCUGUGCUCUGAAGUUAUUCUAGACCUUAUCUUUGGAAAUAAUGCAGGCAUGAUAAAUAGGUUGGAGUAGAAAAGCACUAAAGAUGCAAUCAUAAUGUCAUCAGGUUUGAAUUGCUGAUGAAGAUCUGUGGGAAGAGAACUAACACAAAAAUAUGGGGCUUGAGAAAAGCAGACCUUGAAGGAAUGCAAAAUGAGUUUUGAACUUGGCUGGAAUUUUGCAACGUGUAGAAAAUGAAACAUGAAAAAGGUAGCAUCCUGGGAGGGAACAUUCAAAAUUCAACCCAAUAAGAUCAAAGUAAUACAGAAACAAUGAGAGGAAGCAGAGAAAUAAGAGAAUAUAGGGGAAGCCAUUAAAAAAUAAAAUAAAGGGGAAAAGUAGUGGGAAACUUGCUAUGACUGAACGAAACCAAAACACUAAAACAAAUGCAGUUAUUAAUAGCAAAUUAGUAUCUAAGAUUUUUUUCUAAAGAUUGUUGCGAGUCACACAGGUCCCUCAUCUUAGGCUGCGAGCCUUUGUAUAGUCAAGGAGUAUUGAUCCCGAUGGCACAUCUAGACUCCUGUGGUGUUGUGGCCUUUUUUUUUUUUUUUUUAAAUAAGAUCUUGCCUUUCAUAGGAAAAAGCAUUUAAUUUAUGAAAAGUCAUGGUACAACUGAAAGUUCAUCACUGGGGAAAGCAUAAGACCAUAGUUUGUAUUGGGUUAACAGUUAAAAGAUUUAAAGUGUAAAUGUAUUUACAGCUUCUUAAACUAGCCCUGGAAAUUAGACUACUUAUAGGGUGAAAACUGAAUAACUUGCUAUCUCAUCCAUGGAGUAGAUUUAAAUUCAAGUCUCCAGGUAAAAGUUUUAUAAAGCUUACCCCCACCUGGCCCCUCGCCGUCCUUUGUUGAGUGGGAAACACAGAGCCCUACAGAGGAAAGAAGUUCUAUUUUCUGGCUUCCCAGCAAUGCAGGAACUACUGAUGGUAUAUUUUGGCAUAUGCAUAUCCUUUUAAAGAAAAGGUUGAGUAUAUGACAUACAUUAAAACAUAAGCUGUAUUCUUUGUUUCUUCAUAGCUGGGCUUCUGCAAAGAAAGAAAAAGUUUGUAAGCUUAGUUUUUGAUGUGGCAUGUAUGCUGGUCUGUGUAAAAUUUUACUGUAUGAAAUUGUGAAAAAUGUAGCCCAACUUAUUCCAAAAAUCACAGAACUGCUUCCUGCAGACCUAACAUGCCUAGAAAAAUUCAUAGGUGCGAAGGCUGGUACAUAGUAAGUACUUAGGACACGCUUACUGAUAGAUUCAGGUAUCACACAUAUAUGUACAGGGGCAUCAAUAGAUAUAUUUGUAAUCAACAUGUAUAAAAACCAAUUUUUAAAUAAAGCUAUAUUUUCCCAUUAAACAUUAAGGGAUUUUAUUUUCUAAGUGAAAUUCUGGCAUAUGACAAAGAGGCUAGACCUGUGUUCAUAUGUCUGAGAUUCUGUGAUUCCUUUAUCUGUAAUUCCUAACAUUUUAACUUUUGGCUAUUUAUUCCUUAAUUUCUGUGCCACAUUGUUACUGAUCUAUUAGAAAAUGCUUAAAAUGGUGGGAAAUCGGAAUCCUUGAAUGGAUCCGUCAGUGUAUUGUUCCAGGUAGUUGCUUGAUUAUACAUAUUUAUUGAAUGAAUAAAUGAAAAAAGAGUAAUAAAUCUUGUGAAGUUGGUAGUUUUAUAAAUUCUUUCUGUAGUAAUACCAAUAGGGAAGGAGGGAGGAGAGGUAUCUUACUAUCAUUUAGUAGAUGAAAACCUGAAGCUCAGAAGUUGAGUAGACCAAGGCCACACAUUGAGUAAGUGGCAGAAUUUUCUGAAGGACUUUUGGCUAUAAACUCCAUGCUUUUAUUAAUGCACAAUCCUGCUCUCUAUCCUGCAGUUGAUCUUCAGAUAAUAUGUAUAAGUUGUGUUUAACUUGUGGAGGCACAGAUGUGUUUCCAGAGGCCCUGAAUGUGAUUGUAUGUUGCACUUUACUUUUCUAUUGAGGGCAAGAAAAGGAAGACAUUAGAGAGGCAAGGUGUUUGCAGAAAUUUAUAGGGGGUGAAAUCAAUAUAAAAGAGAAAAAUGACAGCAAGCCCAGGGCCACCUGCCUAUGAUAGGCCCACAGUAACUUCUUGCUGAAAAGAAAAGGUAGGGUGGGUGCCCAGAGCUAAAGGAUCUUUUCUCAGGCAGCUUCCACUGCUUUUUUUGUGUUUACCUACUCUGUUGGUGUUUCUGUAGUGAUGCACUUAGAAAAUUACCCAGGGUUAUGAUACAACUGCCACUUGUUUUCUAGAUUCUCUUACCUAGCGUGCUGAGACACCAGCUUAGGAAGUGACAAGAAAAGCAUAUCUUUCUCUUUUCCACCUGAUGGAGGAGUAGGAGAGAUGUCAAAGCUGAAGGCAGUCUGAGAAUGAAGGAACAGAGUAGGGAAGAUGGAGGUUUUUGGGAGAACGGAAGUGGUAUCAGAAUAUUUAGAGGGAAGUUACAGCACAGAAUGAGAUGAAUUGAACCCUUCUUAUGAAGAGUGGUUGGAAAGAAGUGGACAUCUAAUUAGGAAGAGGAAUCUUUGUGGCUGUAAUAUUAUGUUCAAACACUUGGAAGAUUCUCCUGAUAAAGGAAGAUUUUUCUCUGUUAGCUCAAAGUAGUAGGACUAAGACCAGCUUUUAGACAUUGUGGGAAGAUGGCUUUCUAGCUAGUUAUUAUAGGAAGAAUUUUGUCAGUGCCUGAAUCACCCAGAAAUUGGGUGUGCCACAUCAGGAGAUAGAUGUUCUAAGCACAGGCUGAAUGAGCCUGAUGGAGCUACACUAAGGCAUGUGAUACUCAGCAAACAUUAGCAAGGCCUUCUUUUUCAGGAUUAAUGUGAUUCUAUGCAGUAGAAGAGAAAAUCAUUUUAUAUGCAGACACACACUAGGACAUGCCUACUGAUAGAUUCAGGUAUCACACAUGCGUGUGUGUGUGUGUGUGUGUGUGUGUGUGUGUGUGUAACUUAAGAGUAGAUUACAAUCUAGUAUACACAGAGCCCCAAAAUGCAGAAAACGUGGGAAAAGAGGAGUGUGUUAGUUUCCUAGGCCUGUUGUAACAGUACCACAAACUAGAUGGCUUUAAGCAACAGAAAUGUAUUCUUAUGGUUCUGAAGGCCAGAAGCCUGCAGUCAGGGUGUCAGCAGGCCUGUGUUCCCUUUGAAACCUGUAGGCAAGUUGUUCUUGCCUAUUCUGGCUUCUGGUGUUUGCCAUCAGUGCUUGACAUACCUUGGCUUUACAUGUAUCUAUCACUCCAGUCUCUGCCUCUGUCACUAGAUGGCCAUCUUCCCUCUGUGUGUCUCUUUAUCUCUUCUCUUCUUAUAAGGAUACCAGUAAUGUAAUGGCCCACCUUAGUCAGUAUGACCUUAUCUUAACUAAUGACAACUUCGAUGGCCCUCUUUCCAAAUAAGUUCUCUUUCUGAAGUAUGGGGGGUGUGAGAUUUUGACAUUGCUUUUUUGGGGAUAUAAUUCAAAGCAAGGAGAAAUAGUAUUCUUGCUCUGUGAUCUUAUUAUUUUCUGUUAGGAAGACCUGAAGAAGUUAGAGAAAAAUAUUUUGACUCAAACCCAGCAAACUCGAAUUCAGGUACAAAAGAUUGAUUUUUCCCUCUCACCAAUGUUGGAUGGUUUUGUGGAUAGGGGAAAUCUAGUAGAUAUUAAAUAUUUUUAUCUGCAAAAAGCAUUUGGUAAGGUUCUCAAUGGGAGAUUAAUGGCUAACAUAAAGAAUGAGGCAUUAGGAGAUAAAUUUGCUUAUGAGCAAGAGACAGAUACUAACAGUAGAAGGAAAUACUUUUUAGAUUGGAAAGGAGUGACAUAUAGCACAAGCCAGGAAUCAGUUUUGGGACCUAUGGGUUUUUCACUUUAUUUUUAUUGGACUUUGUAAUAAAAAUACAGAUCUUCAAACAGUCCAAGACAGAGUGAGUAAUACUACAAGCAUCAGUAAUCAAAAGUUAUUCUCUAUCAUAAACUAAAUGACUGAUAAUAAAUACUGACACAAGACUACACAAUGUACCAUAAUAUUAUAAAAUGGAGCAGGCAAUUCUCCUGUGUUCUCUUUUCUUCUGCAUGGGUGAAUAUUUCUUUAUUUGCUUUUUAAAAAAAUUUUUUGCAGGUUUCUAGGAUUAUAUUGUAGGUCAAAUGAAUAGAAAAAAAUGAUUUUUUUUUUUAAAUUUGGAAAGAUGUGAUAAUAGGAAAAAAUCGGUUGAAGCAAGACAAAGGUUAUAUUGCCAUCACUAGGCUAAAGAAAUUAGGGGCCCUGUGUGUUAAAUUGCUCAAUGAGCGGUUCGGUGAAAAUACUUGAGUGAGGGGGCAUUCUUGAAAUCAUCAGCUUACUCUGCAGUCAUGACUUUAAUGGAAGCAUAUGCAGAAAGUCAUUGUUAGAAUAAGGAAACUACAUAUCUGAAGAGAGGGAAGUAUAGCAUGGAACUUUUUUCUCUUCUUUUUAAAAAUGUUAACGUGGCUGUAAAAACGUCCAUAAAAUCUAUUGAUUGUAUAUGUAACGUUUAGUCUGCCCAGCAGCUAAUAAAUUAUGUGGAGAACAUACUUUUCAGAUUGAACUUUUUCUGUCACUGCUUUUGUCAAAAUCACUAAAAGGUGUUUACAAAUUCAUUGCCAUUUCCCCAUUAUUUGUACAUUGUCAGAUAUAAGCCAAGAGAAACAGAACAAAUAAACGUUCAAAAGUUGACUCAGAGAAAUUGUAAAUGUUUAGAAAAUUAUAAAGAUUAUAAAGUACAAAGAAGCUUCAUUAACCUCAAACCUCUCAUUUUGCAGGUGAGAAAACCAAGAUCCAGAAAGGUCAAAUUCAUAAGAAAUUUGCCCAAAGACAAAUAACUUAAGUCAAAAUAGAGUCUAGAACAGGGUUCUCAACCUGGGCUGCACAUAAGAGUUUCCUGAAGAGCUUCUUUAAUGAACUAUUGCAAUGAUCUUCCUACCAGAGAUUCUGAUUUCAGGGUUCAUGAACGGAGCCAAGGAAAUUCAUACUUUUAAAAGCAUGCAUUUUAAAACUUCUCUAGGUGGAGAAUCACUGGCUGUUUUAUACAGAGAUGUGAAAAAAAACAUGUCAUGGUGAGAAAGCUGGUCUGGUUGGGGUGGAGACUGAAUGGAAAGUGGCAGGAGAGGUGGAAAUGAAGCUAGUAAAUAGCUUGGAGUUUAAGUUCAUGCUAAGAAAUUGAAGUUUCCUGUUUGGGGGUACAGGAAGUUUUUAGCUUGAGGAAUGAAUAAUCUGAGUAACUCAUUCAUCCAUUUAUUCAUUCAGUCGUUAGGAUUUAUUGGAAGUUUGCUGCAUGUCAGACACAGGAUGACAAAGAUUAUUAUGACACCCUCAAUCCAGAUACUUUGUAGAAGGGGAGCAAUGAUCAGAUUUUCAUUUUAGGGACAUCACCUUUGGGCAAUGUGUUUAGGCUGGAGACAGGAAAGCCAUUAGGAAGCCAUGAUAACACUCCAGCUGACUCAGGAGCUGCUGAACUGAGGCAGUGUGGUGGGGAUGAAGGAGGUUUGUUGUCUGUGGGAUGUAUUGGGGGGCAGAUUUGAUAGUGCUUGGUGAGUGAUUGCAUGCUGAGUAGGGAAGGGGAGGGCAGACUCAACUCCUAAUGGUGCCAUUUGUCACAAUAGGGAAUUUCAGAGGAGGAAGUCUUUUUCCUAGCCCAGGAAUCAGUGCUUCUGUUUCCAUUUAUUAGACCUGCACCCAUUCAUCCUAUUAUUGGUUUAUUGCACAACAUAGCAUAGUCUCACCACUUUUCCUCUCCUUUUCUGUUCUUACAACAAGGAAAAAAAUACUAAUGUUUUAAAGGAAAUCUGAUUAAGGCUAUGAAGGUAAAAUGAUGGGUAUUUUUUGGUUUAGAAAUCAUUAGCAAAAUAAAACAUGUAAAUCAAAAUGAGGAACUAAUACAUUUGUUUUAGUGAUUCAGGAGGAAAAGGAAAUUCAUGAUUUUACUUGAAUUAUCAGGAUGAUGCUUUCCUUUACCAGUGACCCAAGAAUGAGUGUUAUAGUAUGCUUUUUGUAAAAUAUUUAUCACCAACUGGGGCAUUGAAAGUAAGUUUCCUAUGUUACACAGCUGCUAAAUUGGGCAGGGACAACAGAGAAGGCACUGAAUAGUCAAUGAAAUUGGAAAGAAUUUAGAUCAUCCGUGUCACACAAAGCCAGCAAAGGCUGUUUGUAGAAUGUUAGCUGCUAUCACACUGGCUUGAGAUUAACAUUCUAGUGAAUAAUUAAAAUAUUCCUGUUUAUUUUUUAAUAAAAAGAAAAAGCAUAUAUGUUACCUCAGAGUCUGUAAUGAUACCUGUAGUUGCAUCCAUCAGAUGUUGAGGUUUUUUUUUUUUUUUUUUUUAACUAGGAUUGUAGAGUAGAUAACUUAGACAAUUAAAAAGCAGAUUUUUUUCUGCCUUUUUCUGCAUCCUUAUUUUACAAUAUUCAGUAUUACAAUGUCGUUCAAAAAUAUAAAA
This is a long non-coding RNA of Sapajus apella (tufted capuchin), 7935 nucleotides long. RefSeq lists it as uncharacterized. NCBI's taxonomy places the organism in Eukaryota, Metazoa, Chordata, Mammalia, Primates, Cebidae. The record is from RefSeq and is a predicted model, not a curated record. The transcript has 2 exons.